UGUUCUACUAACUGUUUAGAUAGGUUUGUAUAGUAGCCAAAGCCUUAGCUCAUGUCUCCCGCUGGCUGUGAGGGAAAUUAACCAAAACAAUGCCUUGUAACCGGAACAAUAUUUAACCAUUUUCACGUUCUAAUGGGCGGCGGUUCAAUUCCCUGAACAUGAUAUUUGUUUCGCAAUAUCAUCCCAAGACCUUUUUAUAAAGUGGGUGUGGUGGCUGAGUAGCAAAGCGCUUGGUUUCCAAAACAAGAUGUCCCGGGCUCGAAACUCGGUGAAGGCUGGGGUUUUCAUUUUCAGUCCACCCAAACAAAACUGAGUACCUGACAUUAUUUGUGGAAAGUAAGUACAGUUGGUCGUUGUGCUGGCCACAUGACACCUUCGUUGACCGUCGGUCAUAGAAACAGGUGAUCUUUACACCAUCUGCACCAUUGAUUGCAAGUCCUGAAAGUGGUACUAUUAUUUUAUUUACGUUUUUAUAAAGCCGACAUACAAAUGUUGAAUAGAACAGAAUUAUACUUCCGAUUGAAGCAAAUAAUGAACAUUAUUAUGUCAUUCUUUGCUUGUAAGUAGACCAAAAGACUACAGUAUGAAAUGUAAAGCCUGUAGCAAUUGAAGCACUAAAUUUAUUUCCUUCUUACUUUCUUACAGUGUCGUCACUAUGCACACGUGUCUUCAUUUCGUUAUUUCUUUCAGAAAAGGAGAUAAAAAUUUGUUUUAUUGCGUCUACACCAAAAAAAAAGAACGAAUAAGAUUACACGAACUCAUAGGCGACCCCCACCAGAUCCGCCAAAGGACAAGGAAUUUUCAUACUAUGGUUUUGUUUAAAUUAUCUGAAGUAAUACUAUUUCAAAGAAUUAUUUAGCAUUGUUAAUUCACUUUACAACAAACUGGACCAGAUAUCGAUAAUGAGAUUUCUAGAUCUCUUGUCAAGAAAACUAAAUGCAUAAUAGAUUUUGGAUAAUUCUUUGGCGUUGUCUUAUGUUUAAAAAAAAAUUCUGACCACAAAAAACAAACCGCGGCCAUCAUGCUCAACAACGUUAAGACUUGGGGAAAUUCUCAAUGUGGCCAUGACCGGAUAAUUAUAAAAAUCUCCCAAGUCAUGGCCUAUGUAUUUGUUAAAGUCAAAUCUGAGUAAAAUGUGUGCUAACUAUUCACACGUAGAUUUUGCUAUUCAUCAAAUAGUAAUUCAUAUCCGACCAGAUGAUUCAACUCUCUCCUAAAACAUUGAACACAUCUGUAAAUAUUUGAUUCCAUGGCAUUCUUACUGUUAACGUAACACGUCUGUACAUUUACCUAGUUUUAAUAUCCUACAGUUAUGUUUGUACAAUACGACUUCCUUUUUAGCGGCCCCCGAAAGGGGAAAAGACGCUAUUAGUUUUGUGUGGCCUGUCUGUCCGUCUGUCUGUCCGUCCGUCCCGUUUCGAUCUCGUAAACUAGAAAAGAUAGGGAAAAUCCGACAUUAAUUUAAAAGCAAUCAAAGCUCUGAUGCAACGGCUUCUUUUUUCUUUUCUGAAAGCGAAAAAUCUAAUUUUUUAAAUCACUUAUGCAAGCAGUUUUUUCAUAAAAAUACACAAUUUUUCAACUAUUCACUAUUAAUAGUAACAAACACUUGAGGCUCUUUAUUAGGGGAGACUACUAUUUACCAUAUUUUUAACACUGUUUGUUUUUAUAUUUUUAUUGUUAAGUUAUGUAAUUUCUGUUAUUCUAAAUACUAUACUUACGCACAAAAAAUGUAUGCAUAUAAGUCAGACAUAAUUUAAAAAUACAAUUAAUAAGUAGUUUUUCACAUUAUCGCGUAAACUACAAUUCCUAUAAUUGCAAGGUACACCUAACCAAAGAAAAAAAGAUUUUUUUUAAGGAGAUAUAUUAUUCUUAAGGAAUAAGAGAUUGGCUCUUUACGAAACAAUUAGAUCAAUUAGAUAUUCAUUAUUAGACAUCAGUUAGGCCAGGUUCACAUCUAACUUCACAUUUACUUUCACCUAUCCUUUGGUCUGCUGGACCGCUGGGGCACCACACUACAUCCGUUAACCUUUUUCUCCAUUAUUUUCUGUCAUUUGUCUUUGAUAGAAUUUCAUUCUGAUAAUAUUGAAACCUACCUUUUUAGCUGCCUGGGUGGACCACUUCGGGUGCCGAUUUUCAGUUUCUGUUUCCACACAGACUGUCUUUGUAUCCUUGUUUAUUCUUCUUCUUCGUUCUCAUUGUUAUGUUAGAGUGUUCAUAUGACUAGACCAAUACAUGAGAUGAACUGCGCAGUGGUUUCCAAAUCAUGGAGCUCUCCAUACAGUUUUCUUUCUAUAGAAUUUUUUACCUUUCAAACUUUUAUGUCCGAGAUUUCCUACACAUUGCAGACGAUAUUUCCCCAUAUGCUCUUUUCAUGUGAAUUAUUUGUUCUUGGAAAACAUUGAUUUCCUGUACAAGGGACUAAGUGUGUCGGAAAUGUCCAUGUGUCUAUUGCAACUCCGUCACACGAUGGGGCCUGCUGUCCUCAGGAUGUCACUUUAGUAAAAUUUGAGACUUUGUCCAAGCUACUUAAAUUUGAAUAUGUUUUUUUGGUGUUAACGCUCAUUAUAUAAUAUUAAUUAACCUUCCUUUUCCCCCUCCAACACACAAUAUGUGUGCACUAUUCAAAUAUUUCCAGUAUUGUGAUUCCCUGUGGCUGGUGAAUAUUGACUUCAUUGAACGUCAUUAUGUUACCAUAUCAGUACUUUUGAAAAAUAUAUGCACCAUGUGCAGGGCAUUUGUCCUUUGACCCUGUUCUUAAAUUAAGUUCCAAUAACUCUGAUCAUCUUCCUUAUUAAUCUAUCAAUCUGAUCUGGAGAUAUUAUGUUUCUUAUUUCCCUUGACUACAUUUAUUAAUCAUGUACAAAAUCUUUCUCAAUCAAUACAAUCUUUUAUUAUUUUGUUAUCUCCCCUGAUAACGGUCUCCUACUGUACCUAAAGCCCAAUAUCUGCGGCUCCACCUUCCAGGUGUCUGCUGUCUACUUCCUAGAUCGUAUAUUUACGAGCCUUCGCUUUAGAAGGUAACAUUAGCCACCCUUAUUCCUUUACCAGCUAGAGACGACCAGCCCAGAGCCGGUCUUACAUAUACAACGCAGACGAGCCCAUUUAACAACUCACCAGAAGCAACAAGAUAUACAGUUGAGAUAAUAGGGACAAUCUUUCAUGGUAGCACACAUACAAUCGAUAAUUAUAAAUACUCUUUCCAGUUUUAUAUAACUCUCGAAUACUGUAGCAUACCCACCCCUUUCCAUCUCGUAUUAUUUCAUUAAUAAACAUUAGUAGAUUUGUAUAAACACAUCUGUUGUUAAUUGCCUUCAUCUCAUCGUUGUGCCUGCAUGUACACUAGCUUUAGGUGUACACAUUUCUCUUAGACUUAACAGCCAGCACACAAUAGCAUAACACGUUUCACAACAAGCAAAAUACAAAAAUCCAUGUAAAAAAAAAAAAAAAAAGAUUAUCUAAGGGGAAGAACUCUAUCAAUAACGUAUAACUUUGUUCCCUUAUUCGAAAUGAAACAAAAACAAAGUAACAAUAACUAAUUGAAUAAUUGGUAAUUCAUUUAGUUUUUUAUGUAUUGCAUAAUGAAAUAAAUAUUUACUGAAAGUAUCAUAUAGAUCGGAUUAAGAGUGUGGGCGAAAAAAGCAUUUAAAAAGCAAUUAUCUAAGGGAACUAAGCCUUACAAAUUAAGCCAUUUAUGUGAAUACUGAAAGAUUUAUUUCCCUUGUUGGUAUCAAACUAAAUAAUUAACUACCAAUAAUUAAAUGAUGAAAUUAUUAGUUUUUGUGUUGAUUCAUGUGUAGUAGAGAAAGAGUUAAACUGAGAAUGGAUGUGGGACAAAUAACGUGUACACACUUUUGACCAGACAGACAAAAAGACAAACAGAAUAAUAACAAGAAAACAUUUUUAAAAUACUUUAAAAAAGACAAUUCCUUCUUAAUGCAACUUAUUGUUUUUCUCUUAAAAAGUAAUGAAUUAGUUUUAAAAAAAACAAUGGAACAUUAUUUUUAUCCCGCCUCUCUCCCACCCCUUUUAGUUCCGAGAAAGAACCCUGGUUAAGCGAAUAUCUAGAUCUAGUACACUAUACACAACGACACUGACAAGCACUCAGAUCUAUACUUACAAGACGAUGCGCAAAAUGUUCCCGAAAAUUUCAAGUACAAAAAAAAACAACAACAAAGGAUUAUCAAAAUUCACUAUUCCGACAUUACAUUAACUUUUUUUUACCAAAAAUGGUAGAAGUCUCAUUAUCUAUAAUAGGUUGAUUAGUUUGUUGUCAUGUAAAUACAAAAUUCUAAAUGAUUCUUUGAAAUUGUAUAACGUUAAAAAAUGUAAACAAAAAGGUUUCCAUUGGCAGAUCCGGUGGAGUUUGUGUAAUAGCACAAACUAUCUGUGUCAUCUUUUAUAUUAUUUUCUUUUGUGUGUUAAGGAUUUCCUUAGAAACGAUGUACGUGUUUCUGUCAAUGAUCAAUGCUUUUAAUGAUUAUCUAAAUAAUUUUUUUUAAAUGUGUGUACUCGUCGCAUUCAAAUUUUUGUAACCUAAAAUUUGUUGCUUGCUGAUUUUAUUUCUUGUGACAACAAUGCGAUUUUUUAAA
Biomphalaria glabrata is the source of this 4589-nucleotide long non-coding RNA. RefSeq lists it as uncharacterized. NCBI's taxonomy places the organism in Eukaryota, Metazoa, Mollusca, Gastropoda, Planorbidae. The record is from RefSeq and is a predicted model, not a curated record. The transcript is spliced from 2 exons.